RNA transcript from Corapipo altera (White-ruffed manakin), 6965 nucleotides. It is a transcript of the gene named coiled-coil domain containing 18, with no coding region annotated. The record is from RefSeq and is a predicted model, not a curated record. The transcript has 24 exons. NCBI's taxonomy places the organism in Eukaryota, Metazoa, Chordata, Aves, Passeriformes, Pipridae.
GAUAUUUUGCUUUCGUUUGUCGUUUCGAUGGUCACUGGCAGCGAGGCAAGUUUUGCUCACUAGCGUCUGCGCCGUUCCCGUGUCGGACUCCCCGGGAGCUCCGAGGUCACCGCGAUGCGCUGUCUAUAUGUGUGGUACCAAUGGAAUGUACUAGGUGGACUUGCUCUAAAAGUGGUGCUGAUGAAGACCUGCUUGCAAACGUUCAGUUAUUGCAGAAUCAGCUGAGGAGAACUGAAAAAAACCUUCAAACAGUAGAGAAAGAGCUUUCCAGUACAAAUGAACAUUAUGGCCACCGUUUUGCUGAGGCGACAGACUUCGCUCUGGAGGAUUUUGUACAGCCUAAUUAUAACAGUCAAGGCUUUUCCAACCCCAAGAAGAAUUGUGGUAAAACAUCUGUCCAAGAUUUUCAAAGAAAACCCAAAUCUUACUCAGUAUCCACAACUUCGGAUAAAACUGUGGAAGAAAAUGAACGUCUUCAAGAGCAAAAUGCAUCUUUGACUUCUCAGAACCACUACCUAAAGAACAGAGUGGAAACAAUGAACUUUGAAUUGAUGCAGUCAAAAAAAAAAAUUUCGUAUCUUGAAUCCACUUUAGGUACACCUUUAGUCAGCAUUCCGAAGUUGAAAGAACAGAUUUUAAACUUGGAAGCAGAAGUUUCAGCUCAAGAUAAAAUUCUGAAAGAUGCAGAAGAUAGACUAGAUCAAAACCAGAAAACAGCACUGGAAAGAGAAAACAUGUUGCAAAGAUAUCAAAAGGGCUAUAAAAAUCUGAAAAUGGAGUUAAUUGAACGGAGCAAGCAAGGAAAGAGAGCAGAACAGCAAAGAAAUGAAGCUUUGCUGAAUGUGAAGGAGCUGACAAGAGCUUUCAAAAAGUAUAAAGCAGAAAUAACUGAAAAAUUAGAAAAGGUUAAAGCUGAAGAAUUAGUCUUGGGAAAACGUUUAAUUAAUUGUGAAAAAGAAAAAGAGAAGUUGAUUGAAAAGUGUAUCAGCUACAGAAAGGAUCUAAACAUCCUAGAAGAGCAACUAAGGCAAUUAAAGGAAGAGAAUAGUAGCACAAAAGAAGAAAUUAAGACUCUAGAGGCAAAGAACACUGAAAUUACAUCAAUGCUGAGUCGGUCUGAUCAGAAGAUCAUCAAGCUUGAGAGUGAGCUUUCUGAAAAAGAAAAUGUGCUUAAAGAGCAAAAUGCUCUAAUAAGUGAAAAUGCAGAGCUGAGAGCACUUACUGCACAGCAACAUAACCACUUGAAAUUAUGUCAUCAAGAAAUUGAGAAUUCAAGGGAAGAGCUCAACAUACUAGAAACCAUUAUUUCUCAGUUGUCUUCAAGUACAUCUGAAGAGUUUAAAUGGCACCAUUUCAAACAGCAGCUUUUGAGUUCCUCAACAAAAGAAGUUAUCUCAGAGUCUUGUGGUGAAUCAAGUAAACCUUUGAUUGCAGACCUAAGCAUUAAACUGUCAAUGAAAGAAGCUGAAAUUCAAAAGCCUCAUGCAAACUUAACUAUCUGUACUGGAGCUGAGCAUCUGUCUAAUGAUAAUGAAGGACAAGAAAAUAGCAGGUUAUGUGGCCUGGAAACAGAGCCUGUCAAAUUGAUCAGAAGUCAAGGAGAGAGGAGAAAAUGCCAACAGUUGGAACUUAUAAGCAAGCAAUUUGAAAAGAUGAGGCGAAGAUUCCAGAAAGAGAUAGAAGAGUUACGCACUAAACUGACAAAAGCAGAUGAUGAAAAUUCUUCUUUGAAGAGCAGCAUGGCUCAAAGGACCAGCCAGUUUCAAAUCAUACAGGAAGACCUACUGAAGAAGGCUUCAAAAACUAGUAGCUUAGAGAAAGAAAUGAGAAAGAAAUCUUAUCAACUUUCUGAACUUGAGGAACAGUUGGAAGAAAAGACUAUUGCUUAUUCCACUGCUGCAGCAAGAAAUGCUGAGUUGGAACAGGAACUCAUGGAAAAAAGCAGACACAUUCAUGAGUUGGAAGCAACUAUCAGUGAAGAACAUGAGAAAAUAAAUUCUGCUUUUGAAAAUGCAAAGUUGGUUCACCUUGAGCAGCACGAAGAGAUGAAGAAACAGAUAGAACUACUUCAGACACAGCUGGAGCAGAAACAUCAACAAUUCAUUGAACAAGAGAAAAUAAUAUCUGUUUUACAACAAGAGGUUAUACAUAAACAGCUUCAUUACAUUGAAUCAUUGGAUGGGCUGCUGAUAGGAAGCAGAGAGGUACAACAACUCGAGUCAGCAUUAAAGGUAUGUAAGGAAGAAGUUGUAAUGUAUUUGAGUCAGUCACAAGAAAAUAAGGAGGUGUUUGAAAAUCAGCUCAAAGACAGGUCUGAAGAGCUUCAUCAUUUGCAGAAAGAAAUAAAAAUAAAAGAUCAGAAUAUUCAGGACAUGAGUGAACAAACUAUUCUCCUACAAACUUUGCUUCAUCAUCAGCAAAUGUUACAGCACGAAACUAUUAGAAAUGGGGAGCUGGAAGAUAAUCAGAUUAAACUUGAACAACAGGUAUCCACUUUGGAAAAGGAGCUUCAGAAGCAGAAAGCAUGUGCAGCAGAUGAGUUGAGAAAGGUAGAGGAGAAACUUCGCUUAGCUGCUCAGGAAGCAGAUUUAAACGGACAGAAGGUGGAUGAACUGAAUUGUACAAUCAGGCAGAUUAAAUUGGAGAUGGAUCAGUGCAAAAAUGAACUUAUUGAUAUGGAAAAAGAAGUAGUGCAAUUACAACAAGAUGGUGAAAACAAAACAGUGCAGAUAAAUCAGUUGGAUAUCACUUUGGAAGAAGCAAGAUCAGAGCUCAAUAAAAAGGCAAAUGAGGUGAAUGAUUUAGAAGAUAAGCUGCUUCAAAGUGAGACUUGCCACAGGGAAGCCUUACAGAAAAUAGCAGAACUAGAAUCUGCAUUACAGAAUGCCCGUGGAGAAUUAAAAAUCACUUUAACACAGCUUCAGGAAUUGCAAGAUGCAUUACAGAAUGCACAGUCCUCUCUGGAGGAGAAGCACAUUGCUAUCAUGGAGCUAACAACUGAGCUCAGGUAUUGCAAGGGUGAAGUUGAAGACAAAAACCAAGAACUCCUUGAAAUGGACCAAGCACUGAAAGAAAGGAAUUGGGAACUGAAACAAAGAGCAGCUCAGAUUACACAGCUGGAUAUGACAGUUCGUGCAUAUAGGGAAGAAAUGGAACAACAAAUAAUUCAAUUACAGUGCAAUUUAGAAAAGUCAGAGUUGGAAAUCAAGGAAUGCAAUAAAAAGAUUGAGAGCUUAGAGAAGAAACUUCAGCAUUCUAAAGAUCAGCUUCGUGAAAAAGAGUUUGAAUUGCUCCAGAGAGACCAAGAAAUAAAUCAUCUGAAGAAAAAAAGAAAUCAAAGAAAACAACAUAGCCUAGAAGCUCUUGAAAAGGUAAAAUGUACACAACAAAUGAUCAAUUUUUAAUGCCAUUACUGUACCUGCCUAGAAGGAACUAUACAGUGUCUCUUUAGCGUAAGUGUCAUUAAUUCUCCCAGAAUCAUUGUAUUUUAUAUCCUGGUGUUUGCUGAAUCUUAAUCCCCUGAAGUUAAACCAGUUUAGUUAUUUAAAAAUUACGAAUUUAAUGGCACACUUAAUUGUCUGCUUUCUGUGGAGAAAUUUGAAUACUGAUUAUCAUUAGUAACCCUGUUUUCUGACUGUGGACAACACGGUCUUCCUUGAAAUGAAACAAAACAACAUGCUGUUUAAUGAGGGCUUCUCAUGAUUUAGGUACUAUCUUGCAAAAAUUAUUGCAUCCAAAGAGCCCUGAUAUGUGGCAUGUUUAUAGGAACGAGAAGUGAGAGUUUUUUGGCAUAGUGAAUGGGAGCCUAUGGAUAGAAUAAACUUUAUAGAUGACUUUAUGAAUUAUGCAAAUCUUUGGUUUGGUGCAUGAAUCAGUCCCUACAAAUAUAAAUGUGACCUGAGAUAAGUAGGCUUUGUGCAGAUGAUUGCCAGCUAGAGGUAAACUCCAAAGCCACAAUGGCUCCUGCUACUUUGGUUGUGCUGCAUUUGUGUGUUUCUUUUCCCUAGGGUGAGAUAUCAGAGAAGGCUUAUUUCUGUGUGGUCACCAAAAGCAUUUGAUCUGUAUUCUAGAUCAUGGGGGCUUGGCAGUGUAACAGCUGAAUAUGAAGGUUGUUUCACUGCCAAUUAAAGCAGUGUCAGCUCUCCUGUCUUGUUUUCUGUUAGGUUGUUUAUGACACUCGAGAACAGGACAGUGACUGCUGCUACCUUUCACACAUAUCAUUAACAUAUUUCCAACUUUUCCUAAGGGAUGAUUCUGAAGGAAAGAAUUUCCUAGCUAGCCCCUGUACAGCUGCUGGCUAGACCCUUUCUUUCCAGACAAAUUGCCUUGUUAUUGUUUUUGCUAAGGAAUACCAGGUAGGGAGAGGCCUUAGAAUGAUAUAAGAAAGGGUUUGAAAAUAGAUCUACUCCAGUCAUGUUCCUUUAGAGACUUGGGAUGAAGAAAAAGAAAUUUUAUUUUCAUUGUAAUGAGAUGGAUAAAACACUAGAUUUUGGAAGCAUUCUGCAUAAAAUACAAAAUACAUUGCAGAGGGCUUCUGGUUCCACUUAGAAUAUGAUGUGGUUCCUUCUUUGUUUAAAAAUUGUGUAUAUUAACAUGAUGUAAGAAACCACUUUCUCCAUUAGUAACACAUUGCAGACUGACUGACCAGUCUUCCACAGAAACUUUCUGUCCUAGUUCUAAAAACUCCAUUGCCUAAUUUAUCUAGGGAAAAGGGGUAGGGCCUGUGUGUGUCUGGCCCAGGGGAGUAGUCUGUCUCAUUCCUUUUCCUCUUAAUACACUACCUUGUCUGCUUAUUACAGAAAAUAUAUUAGUUCAGGGAAGGAAUUGCUAGAGAGGGUUGUUUUCUGUCCUAGUCCACUCUGCCCCUUUGGGACUCAUGAAAUAACCAGGUCACAGAUUUUUCCGUUGAAUUGUUCUUUGUUCUUACUCUGCUUCAAUCUGCAGUGAGGAUCUUGUAACAAUUCAGCACUCUGCUACCCUUCGAAGUUGGGCAAGAACUGUGAAGAAAUGAAUGUUGCCCAUUGGACAAGCAGCAACCCAGGAAUGCUACUGCUGGCAUCGUUAUUGUGCAUUCAAAGAGGAAAUGUUAAUGUUGUAUUUCUAAAGAAGGAAUGCAGUUAUUUGUACUGAAGCAGAUGAUACUCUUUUUAUUUUUCCAACUGGUUUUGAGAUUAUUGCCUUGAUUUAACAACAUAUUAAUUUAUUUUUUAUACUUUAAAAAAAAUUAUUUCUCUUAAGUUAUAGAAAUUAAUUUCAGCUAUCAUCUUUUCCCAAGGAUUUUGAAUGGUGUACUUGUUUCAUAUCUCACUUCUAAUUAAAAACACAAUGGUAUUAUUAAGAAUUUUUGUUUGGGAAUAUUUUGUCUUCUUUUUCUGUACAUAUGCAGUGUUGCCGACACAACAUCUUAUUAAAAUUGACCUGUUUGUAAGAUGUUUUAGGACACUGAUUUAAUCGCAGACACUGGGGAAACCUGCUUGCUUUAUUCCAAGCAGUAUCUUUAAGAUGCAAAGGAACAAGGCCAUAAAGCUUCCUGAGCUUUGAGCUUUUUUUUUUCUUCUAACAAAAAUCCCUACAAAAAUUAUCAUAGAUUAAAAUGGCAUCAUAAUUAUGCAUUCUAAAACAUAUUUAUUUCCAUUUUUCCAAAAGUACUACACAAUUUAGCUGUAUGAAUGCCUGGUGGCCCCACUUUUAUAUUUAUAUGAGCAUCAGAAACUGCAAAUGUGGUUAUGAGGCCUCAAUCUGAGUCUGAAUAAUGCAUACAUGAUUUAUGUGCAUUAAGACGUGAUUUGUACUUCAGAAAAUCAAGUUAAUAAAGUUACUUGACUUGAGGAACAGAACUGAAUGUGUUGCAAUUUAAAUCCUAGGCCUCAGUUAAGUGUUUUGUACAUUAAAAGUGAAUCUUGGCCAACAAAUAUAUCUGUUGUGUUUCUGCAACUCUGCAAGUGGUCCUGUGCCAAAGUCCUUGGGCAAUCAUAGGCCUUUCAUUGUUUAUGUAAACACGUUCCACAAAUGCCACACUCUAAGUGGUUCUACAAAACCAGCCACACAUUCUGCUACCAUUGACAAGGUCAAGAUACACUUAUCUAAAAUAUUUCUGCAGUUUCAGAUUAUUUAAUCUGCUAGUAUGAAAAUUAUGAUGUAGCGAAAAAUACUGUUCCUUACAGAAAUGUAUUGCGUGUUUUACAUCAAGCUGUACGUUUCUCUACAUAAUAGUAAAGGAAAAACAUUAGAAUUAGGUUGACCGGUGUAAUAAUUGCAAAUUAAACUAUUAUUUUUUUCCUCUCUUUAGGCACAUCACUUUGCCUUCAGGCUAAAAUUCUAUGCAUCAAAUUUCAGACAGAUUUUUUUUUAAAGCAGUGGAACAUGUAAGCCCUUCAAACCAGGAUUUCAAGUGGAAAAUACAACCAAUCUGUAAUUACAGCUGCAUCACAACACUAGUGGAAUUCCACUAACUAGCAUUGCAUAAAGCCUCGCUUGCUCCUCCUACAUGCACUAAAUAUAAAUGUGCAUGAGCAGCAAAAGCAAUUUGCCUAAUCUCUGAAUCAGCUAAAUAGCAUUUGCACUAAAAUUUUGUCUGUAUACUAACUUAUCUGGUUAAACUGUGGGUCAAACCUGAUAAAUAAGCAGAAUCAUAAUUACGUUUUCUCUUUAGAUGUUGUGCUAUUUUGUUGCUUGCCUGAGAAGUUAAUGAUUCCACUUAUACUGUUCAAGUCAAUUUAUUUCUUUUGGAAAGGAUAGAGUUGGAUUUUUUUUAACAUAAUUUCAGUUAAAUGUUUCUGUAGGGUCCUACUUUUCUUGAAUUACUGAUGAAUUUACUUCUCUGCAAAUCCUGGAACACUAAGUUCAUUUUUCUGAAGUGCAUUGCAUCACAUGGGAUUGUUGAGUCUUGGAAAACAUUUGACUGGGGAUAAUGGUAUUGCAAUUAGCUGAAUGCUGCUCAUAAGGCUAAUUGCUUAUCAAGGUCU